Molecule: ribosomal RNA, 253 nt
Filed under: uncultured bacterium
Lineage: Bacteria
Description: partial 16S ribosomal RNA
Rfam family: Bacterial small subunit ribosomal RNA
Source: RNAcentral
UACGUAGGUGGCAAGUGUUGUCCGGAAUUACUGGGUGUAAAGGGAGCGCAGGCGGGAAGCCAAGUCAGCUGUGAAAACUACGGGCUUAACUUGUAGACUGCAGUUGAAACUGGUUUUCUUGAGUGAAGUAGAGGUUGGCGGAAUUCCGAGUGUAGCGGUGAAAUGCGUAGAUAUUCGGAGGAACACCGGUGGCGAAGGCGGCCAACUGGGCUUUAACUGACGCUGAGGCUCGAAAGUGUGGGGAGCAAACAGG